This 253-nucleotide ribosomal RNA is filed under the name uncultured bacterium. Its description in RNAcentral is "partial 16S ribosomal RNA". It matches the Rfam family "Bacterial small subunit ribosomal RNA", at positions 524 to 776 of the family's 1533-position model. The record is from RNAcentral.
UACGUAGGGUGCGAGCGUUAAUCGGAAUUACUGGGCGUAAAGUGUGCGCAGGCGGCUUCGCAAGUCGAGUGUGAAAUCCCCGAGCUUAACUUGGGAAUUGCGCUCGAAACUACGGAGCUGGAGUGUGGCAGAGGGAGGUGGAAUUCCACGUGUAGCAGUGAAAUGCGUAGAGAUGUGGAGGAACACCGAUGGCGAAGGCAGCCUCCUGGGCCAGCACUGACGCUCAUGCACGAAAGCGUGGGGAGCAAACAGG